RNAcentral lists this unclassified non-coding RNA (332 nucleotides) under soil metagenome. RNAcentral describes it as "partial contains 5.8S ribosomal RNA, internal transcribed spacer 2, and large subunit ribosomal RNA". The stretch from base 1 to 120 matches the Rfam family "5.8S ribosomal RNA", at positions 35 to 154 of the family's 154-position model. The record is from RNAcentral.
GAUGAAGAACGCAGCAAAAUGCGAUAAGUAAUGUGAAUUGCAGAAUUCAGUGAAUCAUCGAAUCUUUGAACGCACAUUGCGCCCGCCAGUAUUCUGGCGGGCAUGCCUGUUCGGGCGUCAUUUCAACCCUCAAGCACAGCUUGGUGUUGGGACUCGCGUUAAUUCGCGUUCCCCAAAUUGAUUGGCGGUCACGUCGAGCUUCCAUAGCGUAGUAGUAAAACCCUCGUUACUGGUAAUCGUCGCGGCCACGCCGUUAAACCCCAACUUCUGAAUGUUGACCUCGGAUCAGGUAGGAAUACCCGCUGAACUUAAGCAUAUCAAUAAGCGGAGGA